This is a small nuclear RNA of Microtus oregoni (creeping vole), 102 nucleotides long. NCBI's taxonomy places the organism in Eukaryota, Metazoa, Chordata, Mammalia, Rodentia, Cricetidae. The record is from RefSeq and is a predicted model, not a curated record.
GUGCUCACGUUGGCAGCACACAUACUAAAGUUGGAUCAGUACAGAGAAGAUUACCAUAGCUCCUGUGCUAACACGUAAAUUCAUGAAGCAUUCCAUAUUUAA